Molecule: ribosomal RNA, 187 nt
Filed under: uncultured Staphylococcus sp.
Lineage: Bacteria; Bacillati; Bacillota; Bacilli; Caryophanales; Staphylococcaceae
Description: partial 16S ribosomal RNA
Rfam family: Bacterial small subunit ribosomal RNA
Source: RNAcentral
GAAACCGGAGCUAAUACCGGAUAAUAUAUUUAACCGCAUGGUUCAAUAGUGAAAGACGGUUUUGCUGUCACUUAUAGAUGGAUCCGCGCCGCAUUAGCUAGUUGGUAAGGUAACGGCUUACCAAGGCAACGAUGCGUAGCCGACCUGAGAGGGUGAUCGGCCACACUGGAACUGAGACACGGUCCAG